This is a long non-coding RNA of Drosophila miranda, 979 nucleotides long. RefSeq lists it as uncharacterized. Lineage: Eukaryota; Metazoa; Arthropoda; Insecta; Diptera; Drosophilidae. The transcript has 2 exons. The record is from RefSeq and is a predicted model, not a curated record.
UACACCGCCAGCAAUGAAUAGAUUUCGGUUGUUUGCUAGGGAAGGGGGAUAGCAACUCACGCACACACCGCCAACAAGUGGCCGGUUCCAUAGGUGUGAGUGGGUACGCGCGAUUGUGUUCGUGCCAGCGGAUGAGCCCGUGAGAGGGAUAGGGAGAGUGGAAGAGGCAGAAGAAGAGCGAACAAGCGUCAUUUACAAUUGUUGCUUUUGCGGGAACAAAGAGCUGAUUCUGCUUCUGCCGCUGAAGCUGUCUCUGUCUCUGUCGCUGCCUCUACCUCUGCUGCUGCUGCCCAUCCACGUUGCAGCUUAUUUGCGGCUACAAAUUAUGCAUAUUUCCAAAGAAUGUGCUUAGGGAAUCUGCAGCUGGAUUAAUUAGCUUCAAUUGAAAACUGGGCUCUGGUUCCGCUCCCGAUUAAAACAGUAAGUGGCUGGUGGCUGCCGCUGCAAUCGGUUUAUAAAUAACAGAUCUCAGGGGAGGGGACAGGCGCGGCAUUGACGGCACGAAUAAUGCUCAGAACAAUAAGGUGAGGCAUUCCGAUCGACAGCCGAAUAUUGCUUCAUUGAUCGAGAAUACCCCACCCCAUAUCAAUACACCUUGCUACGCAUCAGACAGCCGCAACUGGCGCAAAAAAAAAGUGGAUCGCACAUCUAAAAAAGGGGGAUAAAACAGCCUCGCCUCUCUCCCCGCACAGCACACGGAUGCACCUUGAAACAGCAGCACGGCCAAGAUUGUUUCAACAAAAGUUUCAGCGCACCGAAAACACUCACAAACACACGCACGCACUCACAACUAUCUACAUUGGAAAGGAGGCAAGGAAUGCAGAAUAUGAGGAGUGGGGAACGUACACCGCGUUUCAAAACAUAGCGCAUGCGUCGGAUAGCAGGUCCUGUACCAUGUGCAUUUAACUAAAACACCGAUUUUUAUUUAUUUUUAUUAUUUUUAAGCGAAAAUUUCGUGCGACAACCGAUAUAUCACAUA